Molecule: long non-coding RNA, 301 nt
Organism: Mus spicilegus (steppe mouse)
Lineage: Eukaryota; Metazoa; Chordata; Mammalia; Rodentia; Muridae
Source: Ensembl
GCUCUUAGGUUAAGUUCUGUAUGAUUCCACUUUCCACUUACAAUUUUACCAAAUUCACAGGCAUCUUCUUUUGUCAUCCAGGGCCCUAUGAUGAUACAGCAACAUCUUGUGCUACCAACUGUCAAAACUUUGGAUGGUCUAACACUCAGGUCAUGACCCUUGUAAUUAAGAAAUUCUUGAAGACAAUAUUCAGGAGAAAAUGUGAUUUGAGUCUGGAGACAAUUGUGUAUGUAAGUAUUUGGAAAUUAGAUUUUCCAGGGGUGAAAUCUAAUUAACAACUAAAAUAUUAUUAAAAUUUUUU